RNAcentral lists this ribosomal RNA (254 nucleotides) under uncultured bacterium. Its description in RNAcentral is "partial 16S ribosomal RNA". It matches the Rfam family "Bacterial small subunit ribosomal RNA", at positions 524 to 776 of the family's 1533-position model. The record is from RNAcentral.
UACGGGGGGAGCAAGCGUUGUUCGGAUUUACUGGGCGUAAAGGGCGCGUAGGCGGCCUCCGCAAGUCGACUGUGAAAUCUCCGGGCUUAACCCGGAAAGGUCAGCCGAAACUGCGGGGCUAGAGUGCAGAAGGGGCAACUGGAAUUCUCGGUGUAGCGGUGAAAUGCGUAGAUAUCGAGAGGAACACCUGCGGCGAAGGCGGGUUGCUGGGCUGACACUGACGCUGAAGCGCGAAAGCUAGGGGAGCAAACGGG